AUUGGGAUGAAAGGUGGAAUUACAGUAAAUAUAAUGCUGUUUAACAUUAAAUGGAAUGUGUUGUACUUGCGACAGUUGUUCAUUUCAACAUUAAUUAUUAAGGGAACUUGACAACUCAUUUUUAAUUCGCAACUGAAGACAAAAUUUCUUAAGAUGUAAAUACAACAAAGAAGCUCAGAAAGUUGGUGCUUUUUAUUCCCUUUUAUUAUUCUGUGAUUUUUACCUUGAUAAAAUCUAUAAGCAAAUUAGAAUGGAAUGUACCUAAAUUGUACAAAUCAGGCUGUAUUAUUCCAUUCUCAUAGUGCUAUAAAGAACUGCCUGAGAUUGGGUAAUUUAUAAAGGAAAGAGCUUUAAUGGACUGACAGUUCAGCAUGGGUAGGGAGGCCUCAGGAAACUUACAAUCAUGGCAGAAGGUGAAGGGAAGAAGGCACCUUCUCCACAAGGCAGCAGGAAGAAGUGCAGAGUGAAGUGGGAAGAACCGCUAAAAAAACCAUCAGAUCUCAUGAGACCUCACUUACAAUCAUGAAAGCAACAUGGGGGAACCACCCUCUUGAUUCAAUUACCUCCACCUGGUCUCUCCCUUGACAUGUGGGGAUUAUGGGGAUUAUAGGAAUUACAAUUCAAGAUGACAUUUGGGUGGGGACACAAAGCCUAACCAUAUCAUAAGCAUAGUUGUUGGUGAACUGAUAUUAUGCCACUGGACAGAGAGAUUAAGAAGUAAGUCAGGUUAUAUUGGAAAUUGUUUCACAUAUUCCUCAUUAUUUUGAUUUGAAGAUUUUCUUGGAGAUAUACAAUUUAAAUAGCAUUUGAAGCAAACUUUGUAUUUUAAAUCAAUUUUCUUCUAAGACGAGGGUAAGCAUGUUUAUUAUUUAUCUUUUAAUAAGAAAUGAACAGCAGAUGAUAAUGUGAUCAAAUAUGCAUUGCCUGGGUUUAUAUGUGAAAUUGAUAAAUAUUCAAAUUGUAUUUAAAAUCUACUGUCAAUUACAAUGUGCAUGCUCUUUGUUGAGUAAAAUUUUGGAGGAAAUUUUUGAUGACCAAGUGAUAUUGUAUAAAUGUACUUAAAUAAAAAGAGAAAAAAAUGAUACAGUGAAGAAAUUUAUGGUGGGGG
This 1108-nucleotide long non-coding RNA is filed under the name Homo sapiens (human). RNAcentral's name for it is "HSALNT0011343". The record is from RNAcentral. Lineage: Eukaryota; Metazoa; Chordata; Mammalia; Primates; Hominidae.